RNAcentral lists this unclassified non-coding RNA (429 nucleotides) under soil metagenome. RNAcentral describes it as "partial contains 5.8S ribosomal RNA, internal transcribed spacer 2, and large subunit ribosomal RNA". The stretch from base 1 to 120 matches the Rfam family "5.8S ribosomal RNA", at positions 35 to 154 of the family's 154-position model. The record is from RNAcentral.
GAUGAAGAACGUAGCGAAAUGCGAUACGUAAUGUGAAUUGCAGAAUUCAGUGAAUCAUCGAAUCUUUGAACGCAUAUUGCGCUCUUUGGUAUUCCGAAGAGCAUGCUUGUUUGAGUAUCAGUAAACACCUCAAAGUCUUUUUUUCUUGAAGAAAAAGACCUUGGACUUGAGCAAUCCCAACUCUUCUUUCAGAAGAGGCGGGUUGCUUGAAAUGCAGGUGCAGCUGGACACUCUCCUGAGCUAAAAGCAUAUUCAUUUAGUCCCGUCAAACGGAUUAUUACUUUUGCUGCAGCUAACAUAAAGGGAGUUUGACCAUUUUGGCUGACUGAUGCAGGAAUUUCACAAGAGUCUUCAAAACGCUCUUGUUAAACUCGAUCUCAAAUCAAGUAAGACUACCCGCUGAACUUAAGCAUAUCAAUAAGCGGAGGA